RNAcentral lists this unclassified non-coding RNA (275 nucleotides) under plant metagenome. Its description in RNAcentral is "partial contains small subunit ribosomal RNA, internal transcribed spacer 1, and 5.8S ribosomal RNA". The record is from RNAcentral.
UUUCCGUAGGUGAACCUGCGGAAGGAUCAUUAUCGAAAUACUUAUUUAGCGUUCCGUGCUAUCCCAUUGUUUUAUUUACCCUGUUGCUUCCACUGGAUGAGUUUCCAUACCUUGAGUUUGAGAAACUUUGGCUUGUGUAAGAUUCAUUCACGGCCAGCCAGUGAGAAGACCAUUUACAAAACCCUGUCAAGAACCAAUUGUCUGAAUAUUUUACUCCAAUGAAAUAAAACUUUCAACAACGGAUCUCUAGGCUCUUGCAUCAUGAAGAACGCAGC